CUUUCCAGCGGCGGGGCUGCGCUGGUGGCGGAGGUGCCGGGGCACCCCGCAGGCUGCACGUCCUCAGCUCCCGGGCCAGGCUGAGCACCUCGGGCCGUUCGCGCUGCAGGGCUCCUUCCUCGCUAUCCCGGGUGUCCUCCUCCUCCGCAUCCUCCUCCUCAUCCUCCUCCUGGAUGCUGCUGAGCCGCGGAGCUCCGCGACCGCGCUCGCCCGGCGGAGGCCGGUAAGCGCACUUGGCGUUGAGCAGGCGGCGCAAUGGAGCCCGGGGUACCGAGGCGGCGGCGCCCCCCGCACGGAGAUGCUGCUGGCGCACGUGGCGCGCAUCGCUCUGGCGCUGCAGCCGCUUGAAGUCGCUGAAGGCCGCCAGCGCAGUCUGGUGGAGCAGGCGGGCCAGGGAGCGCGCCUUGUGCGCCCGCGCCAGCAACACAGCGUGGCAGCGCAGCACCACGGCCUUGUGGCGUGCCUGGUGGCGGUAGACCCAGGUGAAGACUCGCGGGUGGCGCCCAUCCGCCGCGCAGUAGGUGAUGCGCGGCAGCAGGGCAGCAUCGCGGCGGCCCAAAGGGCAGGGAGCGCGGGGAAGCUCACUUGGGUCCUGGAAAGGCCAAAGGCGCUCAGAAGCCCACCGCCCAGGACUUGCGACAAGCUGGGCGGCGGCCGAAGACAGUCCUUGUGAGAGAUGCCCAGUAUCCGGCGGGGCUGGCUUCGCAGAUGCCCGGUGCCCAGCCAGGCUGUCCGCUGAGAUGCCCGUGCGGCUGCUUGAUCGGCUCGGAGCAGCUUCCCCCAGGAAUGACUCCAGCCGUCUGGGAAGCAAGGAGGGACAGGGUUUGGAGCAAUAAAUGUCCCCAAGGCCCGACUAUAGGGGCGAUUGCCACUGUCCCUGCCGCCGAGUCAGUGGCAGGGACGUCUUUAGAGCAGGGUCUGGUGGUUGCUGGAUGAGGUGGACCAAGAGCACCGCUGCGGUGGGGACUCCUUCAGGCGUCGCGACUCCACCUCCCUUGGCUGCCUGCAUCACCGGGCGGUACCGCUAGCUCUCUUGUCCCCUCCCUCUCCCCCGCCCCCUCCGCGCAGACUCGCGCUUCCCAAGACCCAGCACAGGCGCGUUGGAACUGUUUUAAGCUUUAUCAUUGGAAGGAUGAAGAAUAGAGGGGCAGCGAAGGAACGGGAAUCCCCUAAAAUAUUGCGGAGGGAUUUACGAAUGUAAAUUUCUCCAGCUUCACUGGUGGACUCCGAGUUCCCAGGGAGAGCCCCUUCUCUUUCUAGGGUUCCCGCCUGCUGUCCCUCACCCACAGAGCGUUCCUACCCGCAUCUCUCCUCUCUGAAAGCAGAGAUUUGGGGUGGGUUCCUGCUGGGGUUUGGUGCCCUUUGCCUCUUCUGUGCACAGCAUAAAGCCAGCUGAGGUGGCCGAGAGCAGAGCAGUGGAAAAGUACUGUCUUUUAGUGAAGCUUUCUCCCAGGUUCCUCCAAGGUCGUGGACUAGGCCGCUUCCCCUGAGCUGAGAGACUGACUGGUCGGUCACACCACCACACCAGCAACCGCUGGUGGUCAGGACAGAAUAGGGGAGAAGAUUCUUGAUGGUGGGAAAGGGUUUCCAGAGCAGACCUGAGACUUGUGGGAACUGCAGCAGGGAAGCUCUCCCUCUGGUCACAGUGCAGCCUCUGGCUCUUUGAAGAUUAGACAGAUAAUGUCCUAUCUGCAGAGACCGACUUUGGAGUUCCCAAGUGCUUGGCAUUCGCGAUCUCCUCAAAUCCUUCAGACAAGGCAGUUCAGGCUCAUGUGGUUGGAAGGAGAUGGGUCACUCAGAACCUAGUGACCCCAGAGCUGGCCCUCGCCUUCUCUCUUCCCUCCAACCUUUGGCCAUUCUGCAUAGAGUCCAGGCACUUGUCUCCAUCCUCUGGGGAGGGGCUCUAGAGUCCUGAAAAAACAAACCAAAACCAAACCAACCAAACAAACAAAAACCAGCCCUAUGUCAGGACACACAGUUAGUUCUCUGAGUUUAAGCCUCAGGCUUCCAGACUUCCUGGACUGUUCUUAUGUGGGCCCCAGGUCCCACGGCUUUAAGGCUCUCUAUUGCCAACACGAGUUAAAAGUUGGGUCCUGAGCUGGGCGUGGUGGUACACACCUUUAAUCCCAGCACUUGGGAGGCAGAGGCAGGAGGAUUUCUGAGUUCGAGGCCAGCCUGGUCUACAAAGUGAGUUCCAGGACAGCCAGGGCUACACAGAGAGACCUUGUCUCGAAAAACCAAAAAAAAAAAAAAGGUGCUGGAGUGAUGGCUCAGUGGUGAAGAGCACCGACUGCUCUCCCAGAGGUCCUGAGUUCAAUUCCCAGCAACCACAUGGUGACUCACAACCAUCUGUAAUGGGAUCUGAUGCCUUCUUCUGGUGUGUCUGAAGAAAGCUACAGUGUAUUCGUAUAAAUAAAAUAAAUGAAUCUUU
Long non-coding RNA from Mus musculus (house mouse), 2431 nucleotides. RefSeq lists it as hypothetical. NCBI's taxonomy places the organism in Eukaryota, Metazoa, Chordata, Mammalia, Rodentia, Muridae. The transcript is spliced from 2 exons. The record is from RefSeq and is marked validated.